ACGGGAGGCAGCAGUGGGGAAUAUUGCACAAUGGGGGAAACCCUGAUGCAGCGACGCCGCGUGAAGGAAGAAGUAUCUCGGUAUGUAAACUUCUAUCAGCAGGGAAGAUAAUGACGGUACCUGACUAAGAAGCCCCGGCUAACUACGUGCCAGCAGCCGCGGUAAUACGUAGGGGGCAAGCGUUAUCCGGAUUUACUGGGUGUAAAGGGAGCGUAGACGGAGAAGCAAGUCUGAUGUGAAAGGCAUGGGCUCAACCUGUGGACUGCAUUGGAAACUGUUUUUCUUGAGUGCCGGAGGGGUAAGCGGAAUUCCUAGUGUAGCGGUGAAAUGCGUAGAUAUUAGGAGGAGCACCAGUGGCGAAGGCGACUUGCUGGACGACAACUGACGCUGAGGCGCGAAAGCGUGGGGAGCAAACAGGAUUAGAUACCCUGGUA
RNAcentral lists this ribosomal RNA (434 nucleotides) under uncultured Blautia sp. RNAcentral describes it as "bacterial SSU rRNA". It matches the Rfam family "Bacterial small subunit ribosomal RNA", at positions 341 to 792 of the family's 1533-position model. The record is from RNAcentral. Lineage: Bacteria; Bacillati; Bacillota; Clostridia; Lachnospirales; Lachnospiraceae.